This 253-nucleotide ribosomal RNA is filed under the name uncultured bacterium. Its description in RNAcentral is "partial 16S ribosomal RNA". It matches the Rfam family "Bacterial small subunit ribosomal RNA", at positions 524 to 776 of the family's 1533-position model. The record is from RNAcentral.
UACGAGGGGGGCUAGCGUUGUCCGGAUUUACUGGGCGUAAAGAGCGCGCAGGCGGUCGUUCAAGUCGCGUGUGAAAGCCCCCGGCUCAACUGGGGAGGGUCACGCGAUACUGAUCGACUCGAAGGCAGGAGAGGGUAGUGGAAUUCCCGGUGUAGUGGUGAAAUGCGUAGAUAUCGGGAGGAACACCAGUGGCGAAGGCGACUACCUGGCCUGUUCUUGACGCUGAGGCGCGAAAGCUAGGGGAGCAAACGGG